This 459-nucleotide ribosomal RNA is filed under the name uncultured bacterium. RNAcentral's name for it is "partial 16S ribosomal RNA". It matches the Rfam family "Bacterial small subunit ribosomal RNA", at positions 338 to 795 of the family's 1533-position model. The record is from RNAcentral.
CCUACGGGGGACAGCAGUGAGGAAUAUUGGUCAAUGGGCGGGAGCCUGAACCAGCCAAGUCGCGUGAGGGAUGACGGCCCUAUGGGUUGUAAACCGCUUUUGCAGGGGAGCAAAGUGCCGCACGUGUGCGGUUUGGAGAGUACCCGGAGAAAAAGCAUCGGCUAACGCCGUGCCAGCAGCCGCGGAAAUACGGAGGAUGCGAGCGUUAUCCGGAUUUAUUGGGUUUAAGGGGUGCGUCGGCGGACGCUUAAGUCAGCGGUAAAAUUGCGGGGCUCAACCUCGUCGCGCCGUUGCAACUGGGUGCCUUGAUUGUGCGAGAAGUACGCGGAAUGCGUGGUGUAGCGGUGAAAUGCAUCGAUAUCACGCAGAACUCCGCUUGCGAAGGCAGCGUACCGGCGCCCAACUGACGCUGAAGCACGAAGGCGUGGGUAUCGAACAGGAUUAGAUACCCCAGUAGUC